Molecule: ribosomal RNA, 528 nt
Filed under: uncultured bacterium
Lineage: Bacteria
Description: bacterial SSU rRNA
Rfam family: Bacterial small subunit ribosomal RNA
Source: RNAcentral
CCCCUUGACAUGGCAGGAAUCCUGGAGAGAUCCGGGAGUGCUCGAAAGAGAACCUGCACACAGGUGCUGCAUGGCUGUCGUCAGCUCGUGUCGUGAGAUGUUGGGUUAAGUCCCGCAACGAGCGCAACCCUUGUCAUUAGUUGCUACGCAAGAGCACUCUAAUGAGACUGCCGGUGACAAACCGGAGGAAGGUGGGGAUGACGUCAAGUCCUCAUGGCCCUUAUGGGUAGGGCUUCACACGUCAUACAAUGGUACAUACAGAGGGCUGCCAACCCGCGAGGGGGAGCUAAUCCCAGAAAGUGUAUCGUAGUCCGGAUUGUAGUCUGCAACUCGACUACAUGAAGUUGGAAUCGCUAGUAAUCGCGGAUCAGCAUGUCGCGGUGAAUACGUUCCCGGGUCUUGUACACACCGCCCGUCACACCAUGGGAGCGGGUUUUACCAGAAGUAGGUAGCUUAACCGUAAGGAGGGCGCUUACCACGGUAGGAUUCGUGACUGGGGUGAAGUCGUAACAAGGUAGGCGUAGUGCU